GACGAACGCUGGCGGCGUGCCUAAUACAUGCAAGUUGAGCGAUGAAGAUUGGUGCUUGCACCAAUUUGAAGAGCAGCGAACGGGUGAGUAACGCGUGGGGAAUCUGCCUUUGAGCGGGGGACAACAUUUGGAAACGAAUGCUAAUACCGCAUAAUAACUUUAAACAUAAGUUUUAAGUUUGAAAGAUGCAAUUGCAUCACUCAAAGAUGAUCCCGCGUUGUAUUAGCUAGUUGGUGAGGUAAAGGCUCACCAAGGCGAUGAUACAUAGCCGACCUGAGAGGGUGAUCGGCAACAUUGGGACUGAGACACGGCCCAAACUCCUACGGGAGGCAGCAGUAGGGAAUCUUCGGCAAUGGACGAAAGUCUGACCGAGCAACGCCGCGUGAGUGAAGAAGGUUUUCGGAUCGUAAAACUCUGUUGGUAGAGAAGAACGUUGGUGAGAGUGGAAAGCUCAUCAAGUGACGGUAACUACCCAGAAAGGGACGGCUAACUACGUG
Molecule: ribosomal RNA, 497 nt
Filed under: uncultured bacterium
Lineage: Bacteria
Description: partial 16S ribosomal RNA
Rfam family: Bacterial small subunit ribosomal RNA
Source: RNAcentral